AACCCUACCGCCGCUUCUCCUGCCUGCGUCCCUCGGCAGCUGGUCUGCGUCCGUCCGCUCCUACUCGCCGGCGGCAAGGUUCGUCAAUACUCGGGAGCGGCAUCUCUUCGUUUGUGAUGGUCAGGGGAUCUACGCCUGGGCGUAGUUCGCUUGGUGGUUAUCCAGGAAAAAGUAGAGGAGAGGCGGCGGCCAGAAGCGUUCUCGGCGACAACAAGACAUCACCGGCGGGGCGGCCGUCCGCCACCGUGGAGGAUAUGCACCUCCACCGGCCUCACCGCCCCCGUAUGAGCUCCUCUCUGCUCGACCACCCUCUGCCCGAGCUCUCCCCGGCCGACCCCUUCCCUGCCGCGGGAUGCCCUUUCCAAGCUCCUCUCUGCGCGGCGGCUGUGGCGGUGGUCAAUCCUCCUCCAGUGUUGCGCCCAUCUCAGAGAUGCUCCGGCUCCCUGUACACAUCCUAACCUGGGCGGCGGCCCACCCUCUCCAUGGUCUCCGUGCACGGCUCUUCCCGCCGGCGCGAGUUGCAGCAAGCCGCCGACCCGGUUCUGGAGCUUGACGAUGCAGACAUCAUAUGGGGCGCAGGAGGGGCGGUGGCAUACCGUGGGGGUGCUAUUGGAGCUAUGCCUGCUUGCCAUCUUGCCGACGGUAGACGAAGACGGCAUCGAUUGGAUCGACCAAGGUUCCGUACUCCAUCCCCUCCCAGGUCCCAGCAACGAGCAUGUUCUUUUACUUCCUACUAGAGGCGAGGACAUGACUUCAUUUGGUCUGAACUAGAGAUGCACUUUGGAAUUGGUCGACAGCUAUCUAUAAUAUAUACAGCCUAAGUACAUUUCUUAAUUUUUAAAUCUGGCUGCAUGCUGAUGGUCCAUACAGUUCGGUACUCCUGCGGUCCUGCCAUAUUAAAUAUUUCAAUUUUCCUUUAUUUCCUAGACUUCUUCUGCCAUGUUAUUUUCAAACUUUUUACUUCAUUUCAAACAAUUGCUUGCUUAGUAUAUAUUAGGAUGAAGCUGUGGAGGUAGGUUUAUUAUCAUGCUAUUUAAAUAGGCUUCUUUCUUGAUAUAUUUGUUCCUACAUAAUGGAGAAUAUGCGGAGCUAGCUUGAUAUUGCAGGUAUAUAAGGAGCACAAUCAGUUUGAUGGUGUAAAAGUUAAAGCAGGUUACCUCUGUAUUUCUGUGUCCUGAUAGGUCCUGAGUUCGAAUCGUGGGUGUUAUUUUUAGGAAACAUGCUAAUAGAGGUAUGCUAAUCAGGGCUUCUCAAUUUUAAGCAGCGAUUUUUGCGGCGCUCAUCUGCUAUUCUAUCCGGUGCCCGAUUGUAGUAAUAUAAUAGGGUGUUGAGUGCAAAUUGAUAGAUAUUUCCGGUCUGAAGUUUAUUUCAUGCCUGUUUGCUAAUAUUUCUGUUUCGUCAUUAACUCAUUUUUGGAGCUAGGAAAUGUGAGCCCAGAUACAAGUUUUGCUUGCUUCCAUGAAUAUCGUUGUGCGGGUGAGUACAACUGCAGUCAGGGUCCAUUCACAUCAAAGGUGGGAUAUUAGGAUCGAUGAAUAUUGGUCUUUCCGGCAAAGUUUGUAUACUUUAUAAAUUGCUUAGGUUAAAAGAUAAUGCCAACUAAGAUCAUCAGGUACCAUUAUCAGCAACUGCAAAUGCAACAAAAUGGAAAUUACAUGAUUGCUCUCACAGUCUCACUUGAACACAAGAACAUGUAAGGCAAAUAAGAUGAAAUGUGUAGUUUGUCCACUGUACCAUGAAUAUUUCUGAUUGCUUUGUUUAUUUUCUACACUAGGCAUGGGUGUCUAGGUGAAAAGAGAGUCCGUAUUUGAGUCAUAGUUGAAGUGAAAUUUGUUCAAUGUACCACCAAGUACAUUUGUUUACUUUAGUGUCGUGGGCCAGCUAGGUAUUGUUAGUGUCUGCACAUAAAGUGCCGGCUUAGAGGAGAGUGUGAUAAUUCAACUGUUGGGAUCUUCUUCAGCGAUGGAGAUCCGGAUUGAGCCGAGUAACAAUAGAUGAAGCCUCUGUCCGGAUUAUAUACUAGGAAUGCUCCGCCACCUGUAGAGAUAUACACUGCAAUUUACAGUUUCAAGUAGGAGUAUGUUAUAUUAAGUGCCAUGCCAUGCUUCCAUUAUAUGUAUGCUGCACAUCCAGUUAGUUACUAAUGCUUUAUGCUUAAUUGUUUUGGGGAUGCAUUUUCGUAUUGCUGAGAUCAGAUAGUCCAGGUCUUCUUUUGCUAUUUA
This is a non-coding RNA of Lolium perenne, 2222 nucleotides long. NCBI's taxonomy places the organism in Eukaryota, Viridiplantae, Streptophyta, Magnoliopsida, Poales, Poaceae. The record is from RefSeq and is a predicted model, not a curated record.